This 642-nucleotide long non-coding RNA is filed under the name Sus scrofa (pig). RNAcentral's name for it is "lncRNA (ENSSSCG00050020841.1)". The record is from RNAcentral. Lineage: Eukaryota; Metazoa; Chordata; Mammalia; Artiodactyla; Suidae.
AUGACAAGCUGUCUGGGGUCUGAGUCCCCUGCUUGGUUGCAUGCACAAAUCUGGACCCAGAAUUACUGGGCUGGAAUGAUGGCUGUACAGUUGUCAGAACCUGGCUGGCCCACGUGGAGUUGGGCUUCUAGAAAGGCGGCAUUCUGGUUGCGAAUGUACUUUGUCAUCCUGGUGCUUUUGGGGAGGCAGGCUGUGCUCACGCCUGUGCUCUCUCUCUCUAGAGAUCUCCUCGUAUUUUUUUCCCUCCCACCUGAGGCUCUUCCUCCUCACCAGACACCUGUUCCAAGGAAGCUCCUGCAACAAGGGUGUGGGCUUGUGUCGUGAAGGUUGAGUAUCCAGAGUGACAGUGAAGAAUCCAUACUCCCACCCAAGAGUGGAUUUCAGUGUGCCUGAGAGGAAGAAGAGUAAGACAUCCUGCUGGCAUGUGCCCCAGCUCAGCCCCCCUGGGGCUGCCCUGGCCUUGGACACCCCCCAGCUGGAUUUGGUUCCAGAUCUGCUUCUCAACCCAAGGAGAUGCCCUACAGACGGAGUCAUGACUCUCUCCAAGUCUCCCAGUGCACACCCCACCCUAGACCACCCACUACCUGAAAUCUGUCAGAGGCCCCACAUUUUCAAUCUUGUGAGGAGGAUUUACAACAAUCA